AGAGUUUGAUCCUGGCUCAGGAUGAACGCUAGCGGGAGGCCUAACACAUGCAAGUCGAACGGGAUUGAGAGCUUGCUCUCAUGAGAGUGGCGCACGGGUGAGUAACGCGUAUGCAACCUACCUAUAACUGAGGGAUAGCCCAUAGAAAUGUGGAUUAAUACCUCAUAGUUCUUUUGUUCCGCAUGGGAUGAAAGAUAAAGCUCCGGCGGUUAUAGAUGGGCAUGCGUGACAUUAGCUAGUUGGUAAGGUAACGGCUUACCAAGGCUACGAUGUCUAGGGGUUCUGAGAGGAUGAUCCCCCACACUGGUACUGAGACACGGACCAGACUCCUACGGGAGGCAGCAGUGAGGAAUAUUGGUCAAUGGGCGCAAGCCUGAACCAGCCAUCCCGCGUGCAGGAUGAAGGCCCUAUGGGUCGUAAACUGCUUUUAUACACCAAGAAAAACACCCA
This 450-nucleotide ribosomal RNA is filed under the name uncultured bacterium. RNAcentral describes it as "bacterial SSU rRNA". It matches the Rfam family "Bacterial small subunit ribosomal RNA", at positions 8 to 458 of the family's 1533-position model. The record is from RNAcentral.